UCGAGAAUCAUUCGCAAUGGGGGAAACCCUGACGAUGCGACGCCGCGUGGGCGAUGAAGACCUUUGGUUGUAAAGCCCUGUCAUGCGGGAAGAAGGGAGUAGGGGCUAAUACCCCCCACUUCUGACGGUACCGCAAGAGGAAGCUCCGGCCAACUCCGUGCCAGCAGCCGCGGUAAUACGGGGGGAGCGAGCGUUGUUCGGAACUACUGGGCGUAAAGGGCGUGUAGGCGGCUCGGUAAGUCGGACGUGAAAUGCACCGGCUCAACCGGUGAAACGCGUUUGAAACUGCCUUGCUUGAGUACGGGAGAGGAGAGCGGAAUUCUCGGUGUAGCGGUGAAAUGCGUAGAUAUCGAGAAGAACACCAGUGGCGAAGGCGGCUCUCUGGUCCGAUACUGACGCUGAGGCGCGAAGGCUAGGGGAGCAAACAGGAUUAGAUACCCUGGUAGUCCUAGCCGUAAACGAUGGGCGCUGGGUGUAGGAGGUAUCGACCCCUCCUGUGCCGAAGCUAACGCAUUAAGUGCCCCGCCUGGGGAGUACGAUCGCAAGGUUG
This 550-nucleotide ribosomal RNA is filed under the name uncultured bacterium. RNAcentral describes it as "bacterial SSU rRNA". It matches the Rfam family "Bacterial small subunit ribosomal RNA", at positions 355 to 896 of the family's 1533-position model. The record is from RNAcentral.